AUUGAACGCUGGCGGCAGGCUUAACACAUGCAAGUCGAGCGGGGUGAUGGUGCUUGCACUAUCACUUAGCGGCGGACGGGUGAGUAAUGCUUAGGAAUCUGCCUAUCAGUGGGGGACAACAUCUCGAAAGGGAUGCUAAUACCGCAUACGUCCUACGGGAGAAAGCAGGGGAUCACUUGUGACCUUGCGCUAAUAGAUGAGCCUAAGUCGGAUUAGCUAGUUGGUGGGGUAAAGGCCUACCAAGGCGACGAUCUGUAGCGGGUCUGAGAGGAUGAUCCGCCACACUGGGACUGAGACACGGCCCAGACUCCUACGGGAGGCAGCAGUGGGGAAUAUUGGACAAUGGGGGGAACCCUGAUCCAGCCAUGCCGCGUGUGUGAAGAAGGCCUUAUGGUUGUAAAGCACUUUAAGCGAGGAGGAGGCUCUUUUGGUUAAUACCCAAGAUGAGUGGACGUUACUCGCAGAAUGAGCACCGGCUAACCCUGUGCCAGCCGCCGCAGUAA
RNAcentral lists this ribosomal RNA (503 nucleotides) under uncultured bacterium. RNAcentral describes it as "partial 16S ribosomal RNA". It matches the Rfam family "Bacterial small subunit ribosomal RNA", at positions 30 to 523 of the family's 1533-position model. The record is from RNAcentral.